UUCCAGACUCCUACGGGAGGCAGCAGUGGGGAAUAUUGCACAAUGGGGGAAACCCUGAUGCAGCGACGCCGCGUGAGUGAAGAAGUAUUUCGGUAUGUAAAGCUCUAUCAGCAGGGAAGAAAAUGACGGUACCUGACUAAGAAGCCCCGGCUAACUACGUGCCAGCAGCCGCGGUAAUACGUAGGGGGCAAGCGUUAUCCGGAUUUACUGGGUGUAAAGGGAGCGUAGACGGCAUGGCAAGUCAGAUGUGAAAGCCCGGGGCUCAACCCCGGGACUGCAUUUGAAACUGUCAGGCUGGAGUGCAGGAGAGGUAAGUGGAAUUCCUAGUGUAGCGGUGAAAUGCGUAGAUAUCAGGAGGAACACCGGUGGCGAAGGCGGCCUGCUGGACUGCAACUGACGUUGAGGCCCGAAAGCGUGGGGAGCAAACAGGAUUAGAUACCCUAGUA
Molecule: ribosomal RNA, 446 nt
Filed under: uncultured bacterium
Lineage: Bacteria
Description: bacterial SSU rRNA
Rfam family: Bacterial small subunit ribosomal RNA
Source: RNAcentral